UACAGAGGGUGCGAGCGUUGUCCGGAAUCACUGGGCGUAAAGGGCGCGUAGGUGGUGGCUUAAGCGUGCGGUGAAAGCUCGGGGCUCAACCCCGAGUCGGCCGUGCGAACUGGGCUCACUGGAGCAUAGUAGAGGCAGGUGGAAUUCCGGGUGUAGCGGUGGAAUGCGUAGAGAUCCGGAAGAACACCGGUGGCGAAGGCG
RNAcentral lists this ribosomal RNA (201 nucleotides) under uncultured bacterium. RNAcentral describes it as "partial 16S ribosomal RNA". It matches the Rfam family "Bacterial small subunit ribosomal RNA", at positions 524 to 723 of the family's 1533-position model. The record is from RNAcentral.